This 2498-nucleotide long non-coding RNA is filed under the name Homo sapiens (human). RNAcentral describes it as "HSALNT0390226". The record is from RNAcentral. Lineage: Eukaryota; Metazoa; Chordata; Mammalia; Primates; Hominidae.
AGGAAGGUCCGAGGCUGGGGGAGCAGCCGUUGGCUCUGGUGCCCCUGGGGGUGGGAGCACGAGUGGGCAAGGAUGAUGGUGAGGCAGAGGAGGCGGCCCCGAGGGAGCGCCCGGCUGAGAGGCGGGGGGCCGAGGGGCCCGGGGAGCGGGCGUCACCGAGGGCCCUGGAAGCGGCAGGGCUGGGGGAGAGGAGACGCGUGUGUGGAGCAUGGGGACCCCAGCCCAGCUCCCACUUGCAGACCUGGGCCGCGGGCUGCCGGCCGAGUGGCCGGGGGGCCUGGCUGCCCAGGAGGCGGGCCGGGGCCGCGGCCGGGGGCGCGGAGCGGAGUUAGGGUCGCCAGGCCGAGCCGAGGUGGGACGGACCGACGCAGAGAGGAAGGGAAGCCACCUGGCCUGAAGAUCCUGUCUCUAAGAUCCCAUUCUGAGGCUUCGAGGGUCUGGCUUGAGCAGCACAGACAGGGACGUGUCUAACCGGGAUGACCAUGAGGUCUCAUCGCAGUUUGCCACUAACCAGGUCCACGCUGCUUUUAUGAGCUGUAACACUCACCGCGAAGAUCUGCAGCUUCACUCCUGAGCCCAGCGAGACCACGAGCCCACCGGGAGGAACAAACAACUCCAGACGCGCUGCCUUAAGAGCUGUAACACUUGCCGUGAAGGUCUGCAGCUUCACUCCUGAGCCAGCGAGACCACGAACCCACCAGAAGGAAGAAACUCCGAACACAUCUCAACAUCAGAACGGACAGACUCCAGACGCACCACCUUAAGAGCUGUAACACUCACCGCGAGGUUCCGCGGCUUCAUUCUUGAAGUUCGUGAGCCACACAUCUCCCCACACCAAGCUCCUCCAUACAAGACCUCGGACUGCAUCACGUAAAUGCUUUUUCAGGGGCAAAAUCUAGAGAAUCUGAAACGAGCUAUCAGCUUCCCAGUUUGCACAAUUCAUCAAGAAAUUAUGCGGGGUCACUGGCACAAAUGAUGAGGCAUCUCCUGGAAGCUUAACUUCUUAUCCAUCCCAUCUCUUGGACAGAUGAUGCCAGUUAAUUACUUUGAAUAGAAGACUCACUGGUGGCACCUGCAGCUGCGGCGUUUUCCCCAAGGGGUCUGUCACACGCAGCCCAACUCAACUGGAGUCCUGAGAAGGUGAACAGACCAGGAUGGAUGGCCAGGGAACUCACCAGAAGUCCCCAGGCAUCAGAACAAGGUCGAAGCAUCCUGCCAGGUGCUCACCUUCUAGCACAUUCUUCAAGAGUUACUCUGAGGCAAGCCAGCCGCCAUGUCAUGAGGACACUCAAGCAGCACCAUGGAGAGGUCCGAUGGCGAGGAACAGAGGAUCCCCCUGCCGACAGCCAAUGAGGAACAGGCCUCCUGCCAACAGCCGUGUAAGGGGUCACCUUGGAAGCCAAUGGCCCCUCCCUGGUCAGGCUUUUACAUGACUGCAGUCCUGGCCAACAUCCUGACGGCAACCUCAUGAGAGACCUUGAGCCAGAGCCACCCACCUAAGCUGCUUAUAGGUUCCUGGCCCUCAGAAAUCACAUGAGAUCAUAAAUGUUUGCUCAAUUUGAGAUAUUUGUGAUGUAGCAAUAAAUAACAAACACACUUACCUUUCAGGGUUAUUAUGAGAAUUAAGAGUUAAUACACAUCAAACUACAACCAAACUUGCUGGGACCAGAGGCUCAAGAAAGGGCAGACAGGGCCGGGUGCAGUGGCUCAUGCCUGUAAUCCCAAUACUUUGGGAGGCCGAGGCAGGUGGAUCAUCUGAGGUCAGGAGUUCGAGACCAGCUGGCCAACAUGGUGAAACCCUGUGUCUACUAAAAAUACAAAAAUUAGCCAGGCAUGGUGGCGGACACCUGUAAUCCCAGCUACUCGGGAGGCUGAGGCAGGCCUCACUUGAACCUGAGAGCUGGAGGCUGAAGUGAGCAGAGAUCAUGCCACCGCACUCCAGCCUGGGUGACAUAGCGAGACUCCGUCUCAAAAAAAAAAAAAAAAAAAAAAAAAGAAGAAAGGGCAGACAGAAACCACAGAAGGAGGAGUGGUUAGCUAGGUCCAGGCCAGAUGGGGUCCUGCUCCUGACGUGGAUGGUUCUGGGAGACCAAAUAUGCAAAUAGACAAUGGCCAGACCACAUAUUAAAAUAGAACUCUGCCCCCAAACCUACAGCACCAGCCCAGGAAGCCAACGAACAACCCCUGCAGCAAUCAGCCCCAAAUGGCCAGGACUUGAUGGUAACUGACAGCUUCCCUAAUUUUGUUCCCACUUUCAAUGCAGGACAAACCGGAGAAAGCCAAAUAUGCUCCCCUAACCAAUUACUUAGGAUGCCCCUCUUCUAAUGAGCCCAACUGUAGCUUUCCUGCACCACCAACAGGACGUACCUGAAGCCUUCUCCUUUUUCCGCUAUAAAGCCUUCCCCUCGGCCUGCCUUUGAGUCUCCAUGAAAAGCAAGUGACAGUGGCUGCCUCCCUUACUGUAACAAGCUCUGAAUAAACAGCCUUUGCUUGCUCUC